CCUACGGGUGGCUGCAGUGGGGAAUAUUGCACAAUGGGGGGAACCCUGAUGCAGCGACGCCGCGUGAGUGAAGAAGUAUUUCGGUCUGUAAAGCUCUAUCAGCAGGGAAGAAAAUGACUGUCCCUUACUAAGAAGCCCCGGCUAACUACGUGCAAGCAGCCGCGGUAAUACGUAGGGGGCACGCGUUUUCCGGAUUUACUGGGUGUAAAGGGAGCGUUGACGGUAGAGCAAGUCUGAAGGGAAAGCCCGCGGCCCAACGGCAGGACUGCCUUGGAAACUGCCCGGCUAGAGUGCUGGAGAGGUAAGCGGAAUUCCUAGUGUAGCGGUGAAAUGCGUAGAUAUUAGGAGGAACACCAGUGGCGAAGGCGGCUUACUGGACAGUAACUGACGUUGAGGCUCGAAAGCGUGGGGAGCAAACAGGAUUAGAUACCCUUGUAGUC
This 440-nucleotide ribosomal RNA is filed under the name uncultured bacterium. RNAcentral's name for it is "partial 16S ribosomal RNA". It matches the Rfam family "Bacterial small subunit ribosomal RNA", at positions 338 to 795 of the family's 1533-position model. The record is from RNAcentral.